GACGAACGCUGGCGGCGUGCUUAACACAUGCAAGUCGAACGGAAAGGCCCUGCUUUUGUGGGGUGCUCGAGUGGCGAACGGGUGAGUAACACGUGAGUAACCUGCCCUUGACUUUGGGAUAACUUCAGGAAACUGGGGCUAAUACCGGAUAGGAGCUCCUGCUGCAUGGUGGGGGUUGGAAAGUUUCGGCGGUUGGGGAUGGACUCGCGGCUUAUCAGCUUGUUGGUGGGGUAGUGGCUUACCAAGGCUUUGACGUGUAGCCGGCCUGAGAGGGUGACCGGCCACAUUGGGACUGAGAUACGGCCCAGACUGCUACGGGAGGCAGCAGUGGGGAAUAUUGCACAAUGGGCGGAAGCCUGAUGCAGCAACGCCGCGUGCGGGAUGACGGCCUUCGGGUUGUAAACCGCUUUCGCCUGUGACGAAGCGUGAGUGACGGUAAUGGGUAAAGAAGCACCGGCUAACUACGUG
Molecule: ribosomal RNA, 468 nt
Filed under: uncultured bacterium
Lineage: Bacteria
Description: partial 16S ribosomal RNA
Rfam family: Bacterial small subunit ribosomal RNA
Source: RNAcentral